Molecule: non-coding RNA, 355 nt
Organism: Pelobates cultripes (western spadefoot toad)
Lineage: Eukaryota; Metazoa; Chordata; Amphibia; Anura; Pelobatidae
Source: the annotation of a GenBank genome assembly
GUAGGCAACACUGUUUAUAUAAAUAUAUAUAUAUAUAUAUAUAUAUAUUAAUUGGGGUAGCCCCCAAAAUAUUGGGACAUAUAAAAAAAGACAACUCUGUUCCAUGGAGUAGCUGUUGACAUUAUAGUUGCGCAGGAGCUUUGUUGACUCUAGAGAACCUCGGGCAAAUCGCACAUCCCCACGGCGAUGUCAUCCAUAUCAACAUUCAAUGCCAGAUUCUGCGCCUACCAUGGUGACCACGGGUAACGGGGAAUCAGAGUUCCAUUCCAUACAGGGACCCUGAGAAACAGCUACCACAUGCAAUGAAGGCAGCAGGUGCGCAAAUGACCCAUUCCCGACGUGGGAAGGUAGUGAC